This 328-nucleotide ribosomal RNA is filed under the name uncultured bacterium. RNAcentral describes it as "bacterial SSU rRNA". It matches the Rfam family "Bacterial small subunit ribosomal RNA", at positions 585 to 916 of the family's 1533-position model. The record is from RNAcentral.
AAGUCAGAGGUGAAAUCCCACAGCUCAACUGUGGAACUGCCUUUGAUACUGGUUGACUUGAGUAUUGGAGAAGUGGAUAGAAUGUGUAGUGUAGCGGUGAAAUGCAUAGAUAUUACACAGAAUACCGAUUGCGAAGGCAGAUUACUAACAAUGUACUGACGCUGAUGGACGAAAGCGUGGGGAGCGAACAGGAUUAGAUACCCUGGUAGUCCACGCCGUAAACGAUGGAUACUAGCUGUUGGGCUUUCGCUCAGUGGGUAAGCGGAAAAGAGAAAGUGUACCCCCUGGGGAGUAGGGGAGCACGAUUGAAACUCGAAUGAAUUGACGG